GCAGCAGCCACGGGAAUACAGAGGGUGCGAGCGUUAAUCGGAUUUACUGGGCGUAAAGCGUGCGUAGGCGGCUUUUUAAGUCGGAUGUGAAAUCCCUGAGCUUAACUUAGGAAUUGCAUUCGAUACUGGGAAGCUAGAGUAUGGGAGAGGAUGGUAGAAUUCCAGGUGUAGCGGUGAAAUGCGUAGAGAUCUGGAGGAAUACCGAUGGCGAAGGCAGCCAUCUGGCCUAAUACUGACGCUGAGGUACGAAAGCAUGGGGAGCAAACAGGAUUAGAUACCCGCGUAGUCCCUGUCUCUUAUAA
This 302-nucleotide ribosomal RNA is filed under the name uncultured bacterium. RNAcentral describes it as "partial 16S ribosomal RNA". It matches the Rfam family "Bacterial small subunit ribosomal RNA", at positions 508 to 809 of the family's 1533-position model. The record is from RNAcentral.